ACCAGAAAUAGCAUUACCCCGAGU
Molecule: microRNA, 24 nt
Filed under: Ananas comosus (pineapple)
Lineage: Eukaryota; Viridiplantae; Streptophyta; Magnoliopsida; Poales; Bromeliaceae
Description: microRNA s0269_c097
Source: RNAcentral